This 572-nucleotide small RNA is filed under the name Pongo abelii (Sumatran orangutan). RNAcentral describes it as "retained intron". The record is from RNAcentral. Lineage: Eukaryota; Metazoa; Chordata; Mammalia; Primates; Hominidae.
CCACCUCGUACAUCUCAUCCUGUAGUGAAGUUUUCCUGUACAGACUGUGAACCAAUGGUUAUUGAUAAACUUCCUUUUGACAAAUAUGAGUUGGAACCUUCACCACUGACUCAAUUUAUCCUGGAAAGGAAAUCUCCUCAAACAUGUUGGCAGGUGAGCUGAACAACUUACAGUGACCCCAAAAUUUAAAUGAGGUGUUUCUUAAAAAGCUGAAUUGAAUCAAUGGUUUAUGUAACAUUCUUUAAAGGUUAUUAAAGUUUUAACUCCUCCUUUUUAACAGGUGUACGUGAGCAAUAGUGCAAAAUACAGUGAACUUGGUCAUCCUUUUGGUUACUUGAAAGCCAGUACAGCACUGAACUGUGUCAACUUAUUUGUGAUGCCUUACAAUUAUCCAGUCCUUCUUCCCCUCUUAGAUGACUUGUUUAAAGUGCAUAAAGCAAAACCAACAUUGAAGUGGAGACAGUCAUUUGAAAGUUAUUUGAAGACAAUGCCUCCCUACUAUCUCGGGCCCUUGAAGAAAGCUGUUAGGAUGAUGGGAGCACCUAACCUAAUAGCAGACAGUAUGGAAUAUG